CCACAAUCUGCAAUUCAAGCGAAUAUUCACAAGGCGUUGGACAACUUUACCCAGGAAACUUUUGAGUCCUGCAGCAAGGAAACUAAAUUCAAAGCAAUAUUAUUUGCACUUUAUCAGCACCAAGAGGGGGCACAUAUAUAAACGGAUUGUACAUGGAUGGUGCACGAUGAGACGUUCAAACAGGAUGUAUCAUAGACUCUCGAUUUAAGGAAUUGUUUCCAUUAUUACCAAUAAUGUAUAUUAGCGCGAUUAUACUGGACAAACGAGAUUUAAAGAAUACGUAUGAAUUGUCCUGUGUAUAAAACACGAUCGCAAGGCCCUGU
This 323-nucleotide unclassified non-coding RNA is filed under the name Bombus terrestris (buff-tailed bumblebee). RNAcentral's name for it is "misc RNA ENSBTSG00005031670.1". The record is from RNAcentral. Lineage: Eukaryota; Metazoa; Arthropoda; Insecta; Hymenoptera; Apidae.